AGAGCUCUCGGAGAUCAACAAAGGUGCCGCUUUUGAAUGUGAAAGUUUUUUCAAGACUUUUCUAUUUCUUGGUUUGAAUCGUGUGCCUGUAGGGACACAUGCUACCUGCUUACUGGACAGUGACUACUUAGGAUAAGGACUCAGACACACAAGUGGAGAAGAUAAAUAGUAAUUUGGAACCAAAACUCAGGACGUCCCAGGAGAGGCUAGAUUAGGAAUUCUUUGAUUUGGGAUCACGAAAAUGAAGUAUCCAUAUUUUAACAGAAUGAUUAGUGGCAGAGGAAUCAUCUAAGAAAACUGAGAAGACUCUGCCAGAGUGAUGGGAAGAAAACUAGAUGAGAAAGCACCAUUCUGGAAGACAUGCUCCCAUGAACCAUGGAGAGAAGAGGAGAGGGAAGAAGUUAUUUGUGAUGUCAUUUGCCUGUGUCAUGGCCUGCCUUCCCUAGAUAUUGUCCUAAUGUGAGCAUCACACCUAAGGUACUGAAGUAGAGUUCUGGCUGUUCCUUACGGACAUCUCUGGUGGGGAAGUAAAUUCAACAACAGAAAUUGAGGAUGAGGAACAUGGUGUUGCAGUUCAAACCAGUUCCAGCCAAAAUGGACUCUAGUCACAAACAAAUAGUAAUAACAAUCCAAACUUGUGGCUGAAUAGAGUUCUGAAGUUUUGAGAAAGAGGUAAAGAUAUGAAAUAGUUGUCUAGGAGCAGGCAAAAAAAUGGCUUAGAGAAAUUACAAUUGCUACUUAGCACUAAGGGGCCACUUGAGAUUAGAGGUGAUACAUGAAGAGUGAGAUUUGAACUGAGUUUUAAAGAAUGUUAAGAACUUGGAUGGAGCAACAAGGGAGAGAACUUUAGACAAAGAUGAUCUGUAGACCCAAGGCCUGACAUUCUCAUCAUUAUUGUUUGCCUUAGUCUGUGUAUCCUCUAAAAGCCCAAGGCGAGCAUUUAUUUGGAAGGGGAUUUCAGGGAACACAAGUGAGGAAGUGAGUGAAAGAGAGGUGGGGUAAUGAAGAAAGCCAGUAAAGGCUUUGUUAAGCUGGCCACCACUGUGUUCAAAUGGAGCUCAUUCUCACUGGGGAUUCUCUGAGAAAAUUGAACCAUGCCUCAGAAUUAUUCCACCAGUAGGGAGGGAGAGGCGGAGGCAUUCAUCCACCAGCUAUCCCAUACCCCUUCCAUGGGUUGAGGGGUGUAUCCCCAAUAUUUUAGUUUGUUCAUGCUUGUGGCCAGCAGCUCUUGAGGCACAAGAGAAAGCCUGCAGAAAGAAAGCUUCAGCAUGGGAAAAACUGUCUUGAUUGCUCUGUCACUUCACCAAAGCAAUUUCUCCCUCAAUCUUCCCCAGUUCAGUAAAUGGCACCACAAUGUAGUCAGUAGCAGGAGCCAAAACUUAGCAGUCAUUUAUUCAACCUUUACAUUUAUUGAGUACUUAUACCAUGCCUAGCACUCAUUCAGGUGCUGGGUGCUAGCGAGCCCUAUAUGCUGAACUCCUAGAACUCCUAGAACUCCUAUAACAUCCCAAAUCAGUCCUCUUCUCUCCAAAUCCUCUUUUAUAUCUAUAAUUUGCAACGAGGAUGGCCAUUUAAAAUUGUUGCUAAAAUGAGACGAAGGGGCUGAGUCUUUGUAACCCUUGUUGAGCCACUACCAUGCUCCAUUCACAUGUCUUUUCCCCGUAUGUUUUUGUCUCUGAUCUUCCAGACCCCUGUCCAACUAGUCAAAUCAUUCACCUUGCAUAUGAGUUUCUGUAUAUUCCUGGCUUAAGCCACUUCUCCUUCUACACCCUAUGUAGAUGACCAAGUGCACUGUUUAAAGCUAUCCCCAGUGGGAGGAUUUUUCUCUCACUUCUGUCUUUCAAGGCACUGUGGGUUGAAAUAUGUCCCCUCAAUGACAUGUUGAAAUCCUUACCCUUGGUACCUAAGAAUGUGAUCUUAUUUGGAAAUAGGGCCUUUGCAGAUAUAAUUAUUAAUAUGAGUUCAUACUGGAUAACAGUAGCCGUAAUUCCAGUGUCAAAGCUUCUUAUAAAUAGAAAUUUUAGAGACACAGACAAAGGGAAAUAAGGCCAUGUGGUGGAGGCAGAGAUUGGAGUUAUGCAGCCACAAGCCAAAGAAGGCCAAGAAUUGCCAACAACUACCGGAAGCUAGAAGUGACAAGGAAGCAUUCUUCCCUAGAGCCCUUGGAGAGAUCGUGGCCCUGCAACAUCUUAAAGUUAGGACUUCCAGCUUCCAGAAAUGUGAGAGAAUAAAUU
Molecule: long non-coding RNA, 2234 nt
Organism: Homo sapiens (human)
Lineage: Eukaryota; Metazoa; Chordata; Mammalia; Primates; Hominidae
Gene: CCDC54-AS1
Product: CCDC54 antisense RNA 1
Source: Ensembl